UACGUAGGGUGCGAGCGUUGUCCGGAAUUAUUGGGCGUAAAGAGCUCGUAGGCGGUGUGUCACGUCGGCCGUGAAAACCUGCAGCUUAACUGUGGGCGUGCGGUCGAUACGGGCAUCACUGGAGUUCGGCAGGGGAGACUGGAAUUCCUGGUGUAGCGGUGAAAUGCGCAGAUAUCAGGAGGAACACCGGUGGCGAAGGCGGGUCUCUGGGCCGAUACUGACGCUGAGGGGCGAAAGCGUGGGGAGCAAACAGG
RNAcentral lists this ribosomal RNA (254 nucleotides) under uncultured bacterium. RNAcentral's name for it is "partial 16S ribosomal RNA". It matches the Rfam family "Bacterial small subunit ribosomal RNA", at positions 524 to 776 of the family's 1533-position model. The record is from RNAcentral.